UUCAUGUUUUGUUGUUUUUAUGUUGUGGGAAUGGAUGGCAUGGGAAAAUGAAAAAAAAAAAAAAAGAUUUUAUAAAUGAAUUUAUAUGUUAUUGCUGUUUUCUUGGACUUCACUCACAGGGCCAACAUCCUUACUUAGUUCUUCCACGAUCUUUCCUUCUUUGUUAAGUCUUACUGGCCUAACUUUGAGUUCUCGUCUUCCAU
This 203-nucleotide long non-coding RNA is filed under the name Vitis vinifera (wine grape). RNAcentral's name for it is "long non-coding RNA (VVIN_LNC003322)". Lineage: Eukaryota; Viridiplantae; Streptophyta; Magnoliopsida; Vitales; Vitaceae. The record is from RNAcentral.